RNAcentral lists this ribosomal RNA (536 nucleotides) under Variocladium giganteum. RNAcentral's name for it is "eukaryotic LSU rRNA". It matches the Rfam family "Eukaryotic large subunit ribosomal RNA", at positions 71 to 630 of the family's 3401-position model. Lineage: Eukaryota; Fungi; Ascomycota; Leotiomycetes; Helotiales; Mollisiaceae. The record is from RNAcentral.
GGGAUUACCUCAGUAACGGCGAGUGAAGCGGUAACAGCUCAAAUUUGAAAGCUGCCAACAGGCCGCGGUUGUAAUUUGUAGAAGAUGCUUUGGGUGUCGGCCCAGUCUAAGUUCCUUGGAACAGGACGUCAUAGAGGGUGAGAAUCCCGUAUGUGAUUGGUGCCGUCCCCCGUGUAAAGCUCUUUCGACGAGUCGAGUUGUUUGGGAAUGCAGCUCAAAAUGGGUGGUAAAUUUCAUCUAAAGCUAAAUAUUGGCCAGAGACCGAUAGCGCACAAGUAGAGUGAUCGAAAGAUGAAAAGCACUUUGGAAAGAGAGUUAAACAGUACGUGAAAUUGUUGAAAGGGAAGCGCUUGCAACCAGACUUGCGGGCGGUCGAUCAUCCGAGGUUCUCCCCGGUGCACUCGAUCGUUCUCAGGCCAGCAUCGGUUUCGGUGGUGGGAUAAAGGCUGUGGGAAUGUGGCCCUUCGGGGUGUUAUAGUCCACGGUGCAAUGCCGCCUACCGGGACCNAGGACCGCNCUUCGGCUAUGAUGCUGGC